This 435-nucleotide ribosomal RNA is filed under the name uncultured bacterium. RNAcentral describes it as "partial 16S ribosomal RNA". It matches the Rfam family "Bacterial small subunit ribosomal RNA", at positions 28 to 508 of the family's 1533-position model. The record is from RNAcentral.
GAUGAACGCUGGCGGUAUGCUUAACACAUGCAAGUCGAACGGACUCUUCGGAGUUAGUGGCGGACGGGUGAGUAACGCGUGAGAAUCUGGCUUUGGGUUCGGGACAACCACUGGAAACGGUGGCUAAUACCGGAUGUGCCGAGAGGUAAAAGAGAAAUUGCCUGAAGAUGAGCUCGCGUCUGAUUAGCUAGUUGGUGAGGUAAAGGCUCACCAAGGCAGCGAUCAGUAGCUGGUCUGAGAGGAUGACCAGCCACACUGGGACUGAGACACGGCCCAGACUACACGGGGGGGAAGAGGGGGGGAAUGUCGCAAAAGGGGCGAAGGGCUGAGGGAGAAAUACCGGGAGAGGAAAAAGGUCUUUGGGGUGAAAAACCUCUUUUCUUAGGAAAGAAAAAAAGGAGGGUCCCUAAGGAAUCAGCAACGGCAAACCCGGGC